Molecule: long non-coding RNA, 584 nt
Filed under: Lepisosteus oculatus (spotted gar)
Lineage: Eukaryota; Metazoa; Chordata; Actinopteri; Semionotiformes; Lepisosteidae
Description: lncRNA (ENSLOCG00000023120.1)
Source: RNAcentral
AAGAAGAAAUAACACUGCCUCCCACUGUCAUGCAUCAUGCACUAAAUCUGAAGGCAGGCAGGUGGAUUCUAAGCAGCAAGUGCUGGUUUGGACACUCUCUCUAACACUCAUUAGUAGCUUGGAGCCUUGGCUCCCUGUUAGUAGAAAGGCAGGGAUCACAGCAGGGAAGUGAUAGCUCAGGCUUCUCACAUUCCUGCUGUACCUUAGCAAAGUCUUGUAGAGCCUUUUCCUGGCAGCUCAUUAGUAGGUGCACUGAUGCAUAAGAGGCAGUCAUUAGGAGAGUUUUUUUUUUCCUUCUUCAGCCCUGGUGUCUGAUCAGAUGACUAGUGGCAUCACAAUUUAAAGCAAAGGAAAGAUUCAUAUUAUAACCCAAGAGUGGUCACUCAAAGAGUGGUCAAAGCGUUAUCGCAGUUUAGGGAAAACAGCUCAAACAAAUCUUAUUCACAGCCUUCAAAAUCAAAGUCUGCUGGGUAAAUCAGAUCUCUGGUGUCUCAGACUUGGCCAGCAGCGGGGUGAGUGGGAUUCUGUUUGCCUUGAGAGGAUUUGUUUUUCACUCCAGCAGACUGAUACAUGUAACAGAGUUU